Molecule: ribosomal RNA, 407 nt
Filed under: uncultured bacterium
Lineage: Bacteria
Description: partial 16S ribosomal RNA
Rfam family: Bacterial small subunit ribosomal RNA
Source: RNAcentral
AUUGAACGCUGGCGGCAGGCCUAACACAUGCAAGUCGAGCGGAGCGGCGGACGGGUGAGUAAUGCCUAGGAAUCUGCCUGGUAGUGGGGGAUAACGUCCGGAAACGGGCGCUAAUACCGCAUACUAUCAGAUGAGCCUCGGUCGGCUUCGCUCGUUGGUGGGGUAAAGGCCUACCAAGGCGACGAUCCGUAACUGGUCUGAGAGGAUGAUCAGUCACACUGAAACUGAGACACGGUCCAGACUCCUACGGGAGGCAGCAGUGGGGAAUAUGGGACAAUGGGCGAAAGCCUGAUCCAGCCAUGCCGCGUGUGUGAAGAAGGGCUUCGGAUUGUAAAGCACUUUAAGUUGUGAGGCGUUACCCGCAGAAGAAGCACCGGCUAACUCCGUGCCAGCAGCCGCGGUAAUAC